UACGGAGGGUGCAAGCGUUAUCCGGAUUCACUGGGUUUAAAGGGUGCGUAGGCGGACAGGUAAGUCCGUGGUGAAAUCUCCGAGCUUAACUCGGAAACUGCCAUGGAUACUAUUUGUCUUGAAUACUGUGGAGGUGAGCGGAAUAUGUCAUGUAGCGGUGAAAUGCUUAGAUAUGACAUAGAACACCAAUUGCGAAGGCAGCUCACUGCGCAGUGAUUGACGCUGAGGCACGAAAGCGUGGGGAUCAAACAGG
This 253-nucleotide ribosomal RNA is filed under the name uncultured bacterium. Its description in RNAcentral is "partial 16S ribosomal RNA". It matches the Rfam family "Bacterial small subunit ribosomal RNA", at positions 524 to 776 of the family's 1533-position model. RNAcentral also lists the same sequence under 2 other names. The record is from RNAcentral.